ACUCAAAUGAAUUGACGGGGGCCCGCACAAGCGGUGGAGUAUGUUGUUUAAUUCGAAGCAACGCGAAGAACCUUACCAAGCCUUGACAUACCAGACGAGACUAUAGAGAUAUAGUUUAGGUUGAAGGAUACAGGUGGUGCAUGGUUGUCGUCAGCUCGUGUCGUGAGAUGUUGGGUUAAGUCCCGCAACGAGCGCAACCCUUGUCUUCUGUUACCAUCAUUAAGUUGGGGACUCAGGAGAGACUGCCGGUGAUAAGCCGGAGGAAGAUGGGGAUGAGGUCAAAUCAUCAUGCCCCUUAUGGCUUGGGCUACAAACGUACUACAAUGGCGUAUACAAAGAGCUGCGAGCAGGUGACUGUCAGCGAAUCUCACAAAGUACGUCUCAGUUCGGAUUGAAGUCUGCAACUCGACUUCAUGAAGUCGGAAUCGCUAGUAAUCGCGAAUCAGCAUGUCGCGGUGAAUACGUUCUCGGGCCUUGCACACACCGCCCGU
This 491-nucleotide ribosomal RNA is filed under the name uncultured bacterium. RNAcentral describes it as "bacterial SSU rRNA". It matches the Rfam family "Bacterial small subunit ribosomal RNA", at positions 899 to 1397 of the family's 1533-position model. The record is from RNAcentral.